AACAUUAUUAAAGAACCCUUAAGUAAUACUGAGUAAUUCUAUAUAAAUAUAGAAGAUUUUAUGUUAAAACUAGUAACAAGAAGAAGAACUUCUCCUACAAUGCAUAUGUAAAUCAGACAGGACACCCCGCUGAUAAUUAACACCCAUGAACAUAAAAUAGCAACCACACAAGAAAACCCUACUAUAUUAUGUGUUAAUCUAACACCAGAGCAUUUCAAGAAAGAUUAAAAGAAAAAGAAGGAACUCGGCAAAUAUUAACCUCGCCUGUUUACCAAAAACAUCGCCUCUUGAAUAAACAUAAGAGGUCCAGCCUGCCCAGUGACCAUGUUCAACGGCCGCGGUAUCCUAACCGUGCGAAGGUAGCGUAAUCACUUGUUCUUUAAAUAAGGACUAGUAUGAACGGCACCACGAAGGUUAUACUGUCUCCUCUUUCUAAUCAGUGAAACUAAUCUCCCCGUGAAGAAGCGAGGAUAAGAAUAUAAGACGAGAAGACCCUAUGGAGCUUUAAACUAUAAAGCAAUUGCCCCCAUAUUAUUAAAUUUCAGAAAACCACUAUUACCAAGGCAAUAUGACUAUUAGUUUUAGGUUGGGGUGACCGCGGAGCAAAAAAUAACCUCCACAUUGAAAGGAGCCUACUCCUUAGCCAAGAGCCACACCUCUACGCACCAACAAAAAGACAUUAAUUGACCC
This 690-nucleotide ribosomal RNA is filed under the name Hyalinobatrachium fleischmanni (northern glassfrog). RNAcentral describes it as "partial 16S ribosomal RNA". The stretch from base 222 to 470 matches the Rfam family "Archaeal large subunit ribosomal RNA", at positions 1787 to 2143 of the family's 2987-position model. The record is from RNAcentral. Lineage: Eukaryota; Metazoa; Chordata; Amphibia; Anura; Centrolenidae.